GUGAAUCAUCGAAUUUUUGAACGCAUAUUGCACUCUCUGGUAUUCCGGGGAGUAUGCCUGUUUGAGGGUCAGUUAAAUAAAAAUCGAGGUUUUUGCUGCCUUUUCGUGGUGACGCUUCGGAAUUGGGUCGUCUUUACCUCUCGGUUAAGUGACUUAAAAUUUUUUGUAUGAUAUCUGAGAACUGAUUUAAAUUUAUUUGGUACGUUUUGUAAUAUCGAAUGUUUAUUAGUUGUGAUCAUCCUCAUGACUCACGUCUAUAGUUUUUUCAUCUAAUGACCUCAAAUCAGGUAGGAGUAGCCG
RNAcentral lists this unclassified non-coding RNA (300 nucleotides) under Glomeromycotina sp. Its description in RNAcentral is "partial contains 5.8S ribosomal RNA, internal transcribed spacer 2, and large subunit ribosomal RNA". The stretch from base 1 to 71 matches the Rfam family "5.8S ribosomal RNA", at positions 84 to 154 of the family's 154-position model. The record is from RNAcentral. Lineage: Eukaryota; Fungi; Glomeromycota.